UACGUAGGGUCCGAGCGUUGUCCGGAGUUACUGGGCGUAAAGCGCGCGCAGGCGGCGGUAUAAGCAUGGCGUGAAAGCCCCAGGCUCAACCUGGGAGGGUCGUCGUGGACUGUACCGCUUGAGGGCGAUAGGGGCUGGUGGAAUGCCUGGUGUAGUGGUGAAAUGCGUAGAGAUCAGGCGGAACACCGAUUGCGAAGGCAGUCUGCUAAACUGUAACUGACGCUGAGGCACGAAAGCGUGGGGAUCGAACAGG
RNAcentral lists this ribosomal RNA (253 nucleotides) under uncultured bacterium. RNAcentral's name for it is "partial 16S ribosomal RNA". It matches the Rfam family "Bacterial small subunit ribosomal RNA", at positions 524 to 776 of the family's 1533-position model. The record is from RNAcentral.